CAACCUUGCGGCCGUACUCCCCAGGCGGUCAACUUCACGCGUUAGCUUCGUUACUGAGUCAGUGAAGACCCAACAACCAGUUGACAUCGUUUAGGGCGUGGACUACCAGGGUAUCUAAUCCUGUUUGCUCCCCACGCUUUCGUGCAUGGGCGUCAGUACAGGUCCAGGGGAUUGCCUUCGCCAUCGGUGUUCCUCCGCAUAUCUACGCAUUUCACUGCUACACGCGGAAUUCCAUCCCCCUCUACCGUACUCUAGCUACGCAGUCACAAAUGCAGGUCCCAGGUUGAGCCCGGGGAUUUCACAUCUGUCUUACAUAACCGCCUGCGCACGCUUUACGCCCAGUAAUUCCGAUUAACGCUCGCACCCUACGUAUUACCGCGGCUGCUGGCACGUAGUUAGCCGGUGCUUAUUCUUACGGUACCGUCAUUAGCCCCCUGUAUUAGAAAGGACCGUUUCGUUCCGUACAAAAGCAGUUUACAACCCGAAGGCCUUCAUCCUGCACGCGGCAUUGCUGGAUCAGGCUUGCGCCCAUUGUCCAAAAUUCCCCA
Molecule: ribosomal RNA, 548 nt
Filed under: uncultured bacterium
Lineage: Bacteria
Description: partial 16S ribosomal RNA
Source: RNAcentral